AGAGUUUGAUCCUGGCUCAGAUUGAACGCUGGCGGCAGGCUUAACACAUGCAAGUCGAGCGGGGGAGGGUAGCUUGCUACCUAACCUAGCGGCGGACGGGUGAGUAAUGCUUAGGAAUCUGCCUAUUAGUGGGGGACAACAUUUCGAAAGGGGUGCUAAUACCGCAUACGCCCUAAGGGGGAAAGCAGGGGAUCUUCGGACCUUGCGCUAAUAGAUGAGCCUAAGUCGGAUUAGCUAGUUGGUGGGGUAAAGGCCUACCAAGGCGACGAUCUGUAGCGGGUCUGAGAGGAUGAUCCGCCACACUGGGACUGAGACACGGCCCAGACUCCUACGGGAGGCAGCAGUGGGGAAUAUUGGACAAUGGGGGGAACCCUGAUCCAGCCAUGCCGCGUGUGUGAAGAAGGCCUUUUGGUUGUAAAGCACUUUAAGCGAGGAGGAGGCUACCGAGAUUAAUACUUCUUGGAUAUGUGGACGUACUCGCAGAAUAAGCACC
This 493-nucleotide ribosomal RNA is filed under the name uncultured Acinetobacter sp. Its description in RNAcentral is "bacterial SSU rRNA". It matches the Rfam family "Bacterial small subunit ribosomal RNA", at positions 8 to 494 of the family's 1533-position model. Lineage: Bacteria; Pseudomonadati; Pseudomonadota; Gammaproteobacteria; Moraxellales; Moraxellaceae. The record is from RNAcentral.